This 505-nucleotide ribosomal RNA is filed under the name Cervidellus vexilliger. Its description in RNAcentral is "SSU rRNA". It matches the Rfam family "Eukaryotic small subunit ribosomal RNA", at positions 88 to 590 of the family's 1831-position model. Lineage: Eukaryota; Metazoa; Nematoda; Chromadorea; Rhabditida; Cephalobidae. The record is from RNAcentral.
CGCGAAUGGCUCAUUAUAACAGCUAUAAUUUACUUGAUCUUGACACAAUCCUACUUGGAUAACUGUGGUAAUUCUAGAGCUAAUACAUGCAUUAAAGCUCUGACCGCAAGGGAAGAGUGCACUUAUUAGAACAAAACCAAGCGGCUUCGGCUGUUUUCGGUUGACUCAUAGUAACUGAGCUGAUCGCACGGUCUUGCACCGGCGACGUGUCUUUCAAGUAUCUGCCGUAUCGACUUUCGAUGGUAGUGUAUCUGACUACCAUGGUGAUCACGCGUAACGGAGAAUAAGGGUUCGGCUCCGGAGAGUUCGCCUGAGAAAUCGCGAACACAUCUAAGGAAGGCAGCAGGCGCGAAAAUUACCCACUCUCAGCACGAGGAGGUAGUGACGAAAAAUAACGAGACCGUUCUCUUAUGAGGCCGGUCAUCGGAAUGGGUACAAUUUAAACCCUUUAACGAGUAUCUAUGAGAGGGCAAGUCUGGUGCCAGCAGCCGCGGUAAUUCCGGCU